Oreochromis aureus is the source of this 637-nucleotide long non-coding RNA. RefSeq lists it as uncharacterized. The record is from RefSeq and is a predicted model, not a curated record. NCBI's taxonomy places the organism in Eukaryota, Metazoa, Chordata, Actinopteri, Cichliformes, Cichlidae. The transcript has 3 exons.
CUGGAGUCAGUUAUUACACCUCCUUCAGCCAAGGGUGGCACCACCAGUUCUUGGAUUUUGAGGGCAAUUACUUUUCUACUUAGGGCACAAAACUGCUGCUCGUCUGUAAACCUGCCGGAGACUCCGUGGGCUAAAAUACUGUGAAUGAAUGUGUCAGCAGUAUGAGCCAUGCUGGCCUUUGAAACACCUGUCACACAUUCAGAAUUUCAAAAACAGACACGUGUUCCAGAGACACCUCCCCCACCACCGUGUGCCAGGAAAAGCUUUGUGUGGCUAGCUGGCUGACAGUUGCCAGGCCAGUGGUCCGGUACAGUCCAGUGCUCCUGGCACUGACGCCUGCCCAUCUGCCUGAGUUGACACGUUCGCUCCCACACCACUUGUCCAGGAGGACAAAAUGUGCUACGGUGUCCUGGCAAAGCUCCCUGAAAUGUCAACCUGGCGUGACAAACCCAUACCGUCCCCUUGGCCCUCGUAGGCCUGGUAGUGUUGGUGGGGCGCUGCCCUGGAUCAAGCAGGGAGCCAGAAACAUGCCAAGGUAACAACAACUGCUGAUCGACUGCCGGGGCGCUACCAUCUUGUCCAGUGUGGAUCGAGUUUGUUCGGGAUGGCUGUUCUCAUUACGGGGCUUGAACCUUGU